GAUGAACGCUGGCGGCGUGCUUAAUACAUGCAAGUCGAACGGAAAGGCCCUGCUUUUGUGGGGUGCUCGAGUGGCGAACGGGUGAGUAAAACGUGAGUAACCUGCCCUUGACUUUGGGAUAACUUCAGGAAAAUGGGGCUAAUACCGGAUAGGAGCUCCUGAUGCAUGGUGGGGGUUGGAAAAUUUCGGCGGUUGGGGCUGGACUCGCGGCUUAUCAGCUUGUUGGUGGGGUAGUGGAUUACCAAGGCUUAGACGGGUAGCCGGCCUGAGAGGGUGACCGGCCACAAUGGGACUGAGAUACGGCCCAGACGCCUACGGGAGGCAGCAGUGGGGAAUAUUGCACAAUGGGGCGAAGCCUGAUGCAGCGACGCCGCGUGCGGAAUGACGGCCUUCGGGUUGUAAACCGCUUUCUCCUGUGACGAAGCGAGAGUGACGGUAAUGGGUAAAGAAGCACCGGCUAACUACGUG
This 468-nucleotide ribosomal RNA is filed under the name uncultured bacterium. Its description in RNAcentral is "partial 16S ribosomal RNA". It matches the Rfam family "Bacterial small subunit ribosomal RNA", at positions 28 to 507 of the family's 1533-position model. The record is from RNAcentral.